GAUGAACGCUAGCUACAGGCUUAACACAUGCAAGUCGAGGGGAAACGACAUCGAAAGCUUGCUUUUGAUGGGCGUCGACCGGCGCACGGGUGAGUAACGCGUAUCCAACCUGCCCACCACUUGGGGAUAACCUUGCGAAAGUAAGACUAAUACCCAAUGAUAUCUCUAGAAGACAUCUGAAAGAGAUUAAAGAUUUAUCGGUGAUGGAUGGGGAUGCGUCUGAUUAGCUUGUUGGCGGGGUAACGGCCCACCAAGGCAACGAUCAGUAGGGGUUCUGAGAGGAAGGUCCCCCACAUUGGAACUGAGACACGGUCCAAACUCCUACGGGAGGCAGCAGUGAGGAAUAUUGGUCAAUGGACGAGAGUCUGAACCAGCCAAGUAGCGUGCAGGAAGACGGCCCUAUGGGUUGUAAACUGCUUUUAUAAGGGAAUAAAGUGAGUCUCGUGAGACUUUUUGCAUGUACCCUAUGAAUAAGGACCGGCUAAUUCCGUG
RNAcentral lists this ribosomal RNA (492 nucleotides) under uncultured bacterium. Its description in RNAcentral is "partial 16S ribosomal RNA". It matches the Rfam family "Bacterial small subunit ribosomal RNA", at positions 28 to 507 of the family's 1533-position model. The record is from RNAcentral.